Molecule: non-coding RNA, 44 nt
Filed under: Trypanosoma brucei brucei
Lineage: Eukaryota; Euglenozoa; Kinetoplastea; Trypanosomatida; Trypanosomatidae
Source: RNAcentral
AUUACACAUAUAAAUAUAUGACGUAUAAGAUAUUAAGGUAAUUU